AAUUUUUUUCUCUUUCUGUAUUCAAGAAAAAGAAAAACAAAAAAAAGAAAAAAAAAGAAAAUUGAAUAGAUGGGUCAGUUAACACACUGAAAUACGAUUUAAAUUACAUCGUUUUCCCCUAGAAGUCAACCUUUGAAGUACUUUAUAGUCCAUAAACUAAGCAGGCAAAGAGACCUGUGUUCCUGAAGAACGAGCUUGGCCCCGCUAGGCAGGGCUUAGUGUAAUGUCUCCGUUUUCCACUAGAUGGCGCUGCUUAGCUUACCGGAGUGCGUUGUUGUGGCGCUUGUAGGUGUGUGCGCAUGCACCAGAGGGUUGAAAAUGGCGUAACCCAGCUACCGGCCUCUAGUGUCAGACUCUGUUUUCCCUGCUCAGCAUUGGCACACCUGUCCUUUGUCUGUGGCUUCUGUCCUUCCCGCUUUUACACUGUCCGUGACCAAGCCGUCAGGUUGCCAGGCAGCACCUCCUUCCUGAGUUUUAUCUCAGAUGCGGCUGUUUUUCCUGACCCCUCACUUCUGAGGGACUGUGGUUUUGACCCGCUCAGACCUUCUGGAGGAGGGUCUCACCGAGCAAUGGCUGGGUGCCCCCGGGCCCCCAGAAGCACUCGUGGGACUGCGCUACUGCCGAUGCCAGAGACUGUGGUUGGGUGCAAGCCCACUCCAGAAAAAGUUCACACUAUCGUGUAGCAGCAGCGUUUCAGGGAUUAUGGCAAAUCACAACACACAUCUGGCUCCAGGCUUUACUCUUAACAACCUUGUUCCAGCACGAGCAGGUGUGGUUGUUCUCCAGGAUCCACUGGGACUUUUGCCUGUGGAGAGUCCUACCAGCAGGGGAACCGCCUUUCACCAUGUGGCCCAAAGACCUCCUGGACUUCACUCUGCUCCUGGGGAUUCGCCUUUCCCACCAGCAUAGCCAGAAACCAUGUCAUAACCAGAGGCUGGGUCCUCAGGCCAGGCUCUUGGAGUAAAGCUUCCUGCUCAAGGUCACACAGCUCACAUUACCUGAGCAGAAACAGGAAUAAAUGGACAAAAAUAGACUCUCAUGGACCCUGAGUUCUACCCAGUCACUGGCAACAACUUCAGUCUCCCUUGAACUCUGGGCUGUAAGCCACUUCUCAGACUUCCUUAGGAUUGCAGUCUACCAUUGGUGGAAUACCUUUCAAUAUUCUUCCUGAAGCAAGGAGCACUCACCUCACCAGCAGGAGUCAUGGGAACGGACUGGCAGCUGCCCAUAACCCGUGCAAGCGUAUCUAUGAGCUUCGCAAACAGGGGAAAACAUUUCAGCAUGUUUUGGGGUGACUAUCCUCCCAUGGGCACAGGAAAGACUGCCCUAAGCAGUGAUACACAUGUUUGCUUCUCCUUCCCUCCCAUCAGCUGUCACUUGUGCUGUCAGAGUGCCUGCCACUAACACUCUCUGGACUUGCAAUUUGCUGUUUCUAAUCCGUCAUCUGAGAAAUCAGAUGACCAGAGCUGUUAGAACAGUGUGUAAAUUGAGAGCCAGCCUCUGUGAGAGAUAGCCAGAGACCCUCUCCUUGAGGAGAGCAUCAGCAGGUUUCCUGGCAGCCAUUUCUUUUCUUCUUGGACCUUUCCUUAUCUAAUUCCCUGUUUGACAGUCUCAAAAAGCUGACCCACUUCUGCAAGAGGUGUUGCUGUGUACAGUACAGUGGGAAACAAACCAAAAGAGACACACAUCCUAGUGCAUGUGCCCUAUACCUAGUAAGGGGAUCUUCAGACUCAAAAAAAUCUCUCUGCAUUCCAUCUCCUCACUGGCAAAAUGGGUAUAAACAUACAGAGUUAACAUGGCAUAAUGGAUUAAAAAUUAUAAGCUGCUUUAGAAUGAGAUAUUAUGAAAAUCAUGAUCUUUAAAAAGAACUAUCAUCAUUCUUAGAAGUCUAUAAAGCACACUGCAGGGCAAAUCCAGCCUGCUACCUGCUUUUGUAAAUAAAGUUUUAUUGGAACACA
Molecule: long non-coding RNA, 1958 nt
Organism: Felis catus (domestic cat)
Lineage: Eukaryota; Metazoa; Chordata; Mammalia; Carnivora; Felidae
Exons: 2
Source: RefSeq, a predicted model, not a curated record